AGGACGAACGCUGGCGGCGUGCUUAACACAUGCAAGUCGAGCGGUAAGGCCUUUCGGGGUACACGAGCGGCGAACGGGUGAGUAACACGUGGGUGAUCUGCCCUGCACUCUGGGAUAAGCCUGGGAAACUGGGUCUAAUACCGGAUAUGACCUGCUCUCGCAUGGGGGUGGGUGGAAAGAUUUAUCGGUGCAGGAUGGGCCCGCGGCCUAUCAGCUUGUUGGUGGGGUAAUGGCCUACCAAGGCGACGACGGGUAGCCGACCCGAGAGGGUGACCGGCCACACUGGGACUGAGACACGGCCCAGACUCCUACGGGAGGCAGCAGUGGGAAUAUUGCACAAUGGGCGAAAGCCUGAUGCAGCGACGCCGCGUGAGGAUGAAGGCCUUCGGGUUGUAAACCUCUUUCAGCAGGACGAAGCGCAAGUGACGGUACCUGCAGAAGAAGCACCGGCUAACUACGUGCCAGCAGCCGC
Molecule: ribosomal RNA, 472 nt
Filed under: uncultured soil bacterium
Lineage: Bacteria
Description: bacterial SSU rRNA
Rfam family: Bacterial small subunit ribosomal RNA
Source: RNAcentral